CCUACGGGAGGCUGCAGUGGGGAAUAUUGCACAAUGGGCGAAAGCCUGAUGCAGCGACGCCGCGUGAGUGAAGAAGUAUUUCGGUAUGUAAAGCUCUAUCAGCAGGGAAGAAAAUGACGGUACCUGACUAAGAAGCACCGGCUAAAUACGUGCCAGCAGCCGCGGUAAUACGUAUGGUGCAAGCGUUAUCCGGAUUUACUGGGUGUAAAGGGAGCGUAGGUGGCAAGGCAAGCCAGAAGUGAAAACCCGGGGCUCAACCGCGGGAUUGCUUUUGGAACUGUCAUGCUUGAGUGCCGGAGGGGUAAGCGGAAUUCCUAGUGUAGCGGUGAAAUGCGUAGAUAUUAGGAGGAACACCAGUAGCGAAGGCGGCUUACUGGACGGUAACUGACGUUGAGGCUCGAAAGCGUGGGGAGCAAACAGGAUU
This 424-nucleotide ribosomal RNA is filed under the name uncultured Enterococcus sp. RNAcentral describes it as "bacterial SSU rRNA". It matches the Rfam family "Bacterial small subunit ribosomal RNA", at positions 338 to 779 of the family's 1533-position model. The record is from RNAcentral. Lineage: Bacteria; Bacillati; Bacillota; Bacilli; Lactobacillales; Enterococcaceae.